Molecule: non-coding RNA, 165 nt
Filed under: unclassified sequences
Description: raiA RNA
Rfam family: raiA RNA
Source: Rfam by way of RNAcentral
CCACGGUAUGUUUGUGGUUGAAAGUCCAAGCCAGCUGCGGGCAAAGGGAUCCACGUAAGCCGUCAGCAGGAAGCGGCGGUGAUCAUGGCGUAGUUUAGAAGUAAGUCCUCCGGGAAACUCGGGUCAAGGCAAGUGUGGGGUCAAAGACCAGGUCAAGUGCCGAGG